This 103-nucleotide small nuclear RNA is filed under the name Choloepus hoffmanni (Hoffmann's two-fingered sloth). Lineage: Eukaryota; Metazoa; Chordata; Mammalia; Pilosa; Megalonychidae. The record is from RNAcentral.
GUGCUUCGACAGCACAUAUACUAAAAUUGGAAUGAUACAGAGAAGAUUAGCAUGGCCCCUGCACAAGGAUGAUGCGCAAAUUUGUGAAGUGUUCCAUAUUUUU